UACGUAGGGCGCAAGCGUUGUCCGGAAUUAUUGGGCGUAAAGAGCUCGUAGGCGGUCUGUCGCGUCGGCUGUGAAAUCCCGAGGCUCAACCUCGGGUCUGCAGUCGAUACGGGCAAACUAGAGUAUUGCAGGGGAGACUGGAAUUCCUGGUGUAGCGGUGAAAUGCGCAGAUAUCGGGAGGAACACCGGUGGCGAAGGCGGUUCUCUGGGCCUUACCUGACGCUGAGGAGCGAAAGCGUGGGGAGCGAACAGG
RNAcentral lists this ribosomal RNA (253 nucleotides) under uncultured bacterium. Its description in RNAcentral is "partial 16S ribosomal RNA". It matches the Rfam family "Bacterial small subunit ribosomal RNA", at positions 524 to 776 of the family's 1533-position model. The record is from RNAcentral.